GAUAAAGAACGCAGCGAAAUGCGAUACGUAAUGUGAAUUGCAGAAUUCAGUGAAUCAUCGAGUCUUUGAACGCACAUUGCGCCCUCUGGUAUUCCGGAGGGCAUGCCUGUCCGAGCGUCAUUGCUGCCCUCAAGCACGGCUUGUGUGUUGGGCCCCGCCCCCCGAUCCCGGGGGGCGGGCCCGAAAGGCAGCGGCGGCACCGCGUCCGGUCCUCGAGCGUAUGGGGCUUUGUCACCCGCUCUGUAGGCCCGGCCGGCGCCUGCCGAUCAACCAAACUUUUUUCCAGGUUGACCUCGGAUCAGGUAGGGAUACCCGCUGAACUUAAGCAUAUCAAUAAGCGGAGGA
RNAcentral lists this unclassified non-coding RNA (345 nucleotides) under soil metagenome. Its description in RNAcentral is "partial contains 5.8S ribosomal RNA, internal transcribed spacer 2, and large subunit ribosomal RNA". The stretch from base 1 to 120 matches the Rfam family "5.8S ribosomal RNA", at positions 35 to 154 of the family's 154-position model. The record is from RNAcentral.